This 492-nucleotide ribosomal RNA is filed under the name uncultured bacterium. RNAcentral describes it as "partial 16S ribosomal RNA". It matches the Rfam family "Bacterial small subunit ribosomal RNA", at positions 29 to 507 of the family's 1533-position model. The record is from RNAcentral.
AGUGAACGCUGGCGGUAGGCCUAACACAUGCAAGUCGAACGGCAGCACAGUAAGAGCUUGCUCUUACGGGUGGCGAGUGGCGGACGGGUGAGGAAUACAUCGGAAUCUACUUUUUCGUGGGGGAUAACGUAGGGAAACUUACGCUAAUACCGCGUACGACCUACGGGUGAAAGCAGGGGAUCUUCGGACCUUGCGCGAUUGAAUGAGCCGAUGUCGGAUUAGCUAGUUGGCGGGGUAAAGGCCCACCAAGGCGACGAUCCGUAGCUGGUCUGAGAGGAUGAUCAGCCACACUGGAACUGAGACACGGCCCAGACUCCUACGGGAGGCAGCAGUGGGGAAUAUUGGACAAUGGGCGCAAGCCUGAUCCAGCCAUACCGCGUGGGGGAAGAAGGCCUUCGGGUUGUAAAGCCCUUUUGUUGGGAAAGAAAAGCAGCAGGUUAAUACCCCGCUGUUCUGACGGUACCCAAAGAAUAAGCACCGGCUAACUUCGUG